This 373-nucleotide ribosomal RNA is filed under the name uncultured bacterium. RNAcentral describes it as "bacterial SSU rRNA". It matches the Rfam family "Bacterial small subunit ribosomal RNA", at positions 523 to 898 of the family's 1533-position model. The record is from RNAcentral.
AUACGGAGGAUGCGAGCGUUAUCCGGAUUUAUUGGGUUUAAAGGGUGCGUAGGCGGCAGAUCAAGUCAGCGGUGAAAGUUCAAGGCUCAACCUUGAAAUUGCCGUUGAAACUGGUCAGCUAGAGUGUAUUGGAGGUAAGCGGAAUUCGUGGUGUAGCGGUGAAAUGCAUAGAUAUCACGAAGAACCCCGAUUGCGAAAGCAGCUUACUACACUACAACUGACGCUGAAGCACGAAAGCGUGGGGAUCAAACAGGAUUAGAUACCCUGGUAGUCCACGCAGUAAACGAUGAUUACUAGCUGUUUGCGAUACACAGUAAGCGGCACAGCGAAAGCGUUAAGUAAUCCACCUGGGGAGUACGCCGGCAACGGUGAA